GAUGAACGCUAGCUACAGGCUUAACACAUGCAAGUCGAGGGGUAACGAGAGGGAAGCUUGCUUUCCUUGUCGACGACCGGCGCACGGGUGAGUAACGCGUAUCCAACCUGCCCCCAACUAGGGAAUAACCUUGCGAAAGUAAGACUAAUACCCUAUAAUUUCCUCAGAUGUCAUCUGACGAGGAAUAAAGAUUUAUCGGUUGUGGAUGGGGAUGCGUCUGAUAGCUUGUUGGCGGGGUAACGGCCCACCAAGGCAACGAUCAGUAGGGGUUCUGACAGGAAGGUCCCCCACAUGGGAACUGAGACACGGUCCAAACUCCUACGGGAGGCAGCAGUGAGGAAUAUUGGUCAAUGGGCGGAAGCCUGAACCAGCCAAGUAGCGUGCAGGAUGACGGCCCUAUGGGUUGUAAACUGCUUUUAUACAGGAAUAAAGUUAGCCACGUGUGGUUAUUUGUAGGUACUGUAUGAAUAAGGACCGGCUAAUUCCGUGCCAGCAGCCGCCGUAA
RNAcentral lists this ribosomal RNA (505 nucleotides) under uncultured bacterium. RNAcentral describes it as "partial 16S ribosomal RNA". It matches the Rfam family "Bacterial small subunit ribosomal RNA", at positions 28 to 523 of the family's 1533-position model. The record is from RNAcentral.